RNAcentral lists this ribosomal RNA (433 nucleotides) under uncultured bacterium. RNAcentral describes it as "partial 16S ribosomal RNA". It matches the Rfam family "Bacterial small subunit ribosomal RNA", at positions 29 to 507 of the family's 1533-position model. The record is from RNAcentral.
AACGAACGCUGGCGGCAUGCCUAACACAUGCAAGUCGAACGAGACCUUCGGGUCUAGUGGCGCACGGGUGCGUAACGCGUGGGAACCUGCCCUUAGGUUCGGAAUAACUCCCCGAAAGGGGUGCUAAUACCGGAUAAUGUCUUCGGACCAAGGAUUUAUCGCCUUUGGAUGGGCCCGCGUUGGAUUAGCUAGUUGGUAGGGUAAAAGCCUACCAAGGCGACGAUCCAUAGCUGGUCUGAGAGGAUGAUCAGCCACACUGGGACUGAGACACGGCCCAGACUCCUACGGGAGGCAGCAGUGGGGAAUAGUGGACAAUGGGCGAAAGCCUGAUCCAGCAAUGCCGCGUGAGUGAUGAAGGCCUUAGGGUUGUAAAGCUCUUUUACCCGGGAUGAUAAUGACAGUACCGGGAGAAUAAGCCCCGGCUAACUCCGUG